CCUAUCUGCCGUGGGUGUAGGAAAACUGAGAAGGUCUGACCUUAGUACGAGAGGAUUUGGUUGGACGGACCUCUGGUGUGCCGGUUAUCGCGCUAGCGGUAGUGCCGGGUAGCUAUGUCCGGAAAGGAUAAACGCUGAAAGCAUCUAAGCGUGAAGCCCUCUUCAAAACUAGUUUUCCCCAUCAGGCUCGUCGAAGACUACGACGUUGAUAGGCCAGGCGUGUAAGCACAGCAAUGUGUUCAGCGGACUGGUACUAAUCAGCCGAUCGGCUUGACCAC
RNAcentral lists this ribosomal RNA (278 nucleotides) under Planctomycetota bacterium. RNAcentral's name for it is "Planctomycetes bacterium (activated sludge metagenome) partial 23S ribosomal RNA". It matches the Rfam family "Bacterial large subunit ribosomal RNA", at positions 2637 to 2925 of the family's 2925-position model. Lineage: Bacteria; Pseudomonadati; Planctomycetota. The record is from RNAcentral.